GACGAACGCUGGCGGCGUGCCUAAUACAUGCAAGUUGAGCGCUGAAGGUUGGUACUUGUACCAACUGGAUGAGCAGCGAACGGGUGAGUAACGCGUGGGGAAUCUGCCUUUGAGCGGGGGACAACAUUUGGAAACGAAUGCUAAUACCGCAUAAAAACUUUAAACACAAGUUUUAAGUUUGAAAGAUGCAAUUGCAUCACUCAAAGAUGAUCCCGCGUUGUAUUAGCUAGUUGGUGAGGUAAAGGCUCACCAAGGCGAUGAUACAUAGCCGACCUGAGAGGGUGAUCGGCCACAUUGGGACUGAGACACGGCCCAAACUCCUACGGGAGGCAGCAGUAGGGAAUCUUCGGCAAUGGACGAAAGUCUGACCGAGCAACGCCGCGUGAGUGAAGAAGGUUUUCGGAUCGUAAAACUCUGUUGGUAGAGAAGAACGUUGGUGAGAGGGGAAAGCUCAUCAAGUGACGGUAACUACCCAGAAAGGGACGGCUAACUACGUG
Molecule: ribosomal RNA, 497 nt
Filed under: uncultured bacterium
Lineage: Bacteria
Description: partial 16S ribosomal RNA
Rfam family: Bacterial small subunit ribosomal RNA
Source: RNAcentral